AAUGUAUCUGAGAAUGUAAACCCUGGGCAGUUCUGACUUGCAAAUUCUCUAAAUUUCAAUGAACAGUAGCUGCAGGACUAUUUUAUUUCAUGAUGCAGCACUCAUUUAUCAGUGAUUAUCUUGAACUUUAUCCCUUUUAGAUUUUAUAGAGUUAACAGUUGAUGGAAUCAGGAUUGUACAGUGUAGGCAGUAUUGCUGGAACUCGUGUAAUGAUUAGCUUAACAACAUACCCUUAAAGUGAACAGCAGAAAUCUGCUACAAAAUUUAUUCCUUCUUUUCAUGCAUCUGUGAGAGGAAAAAGUAAGAAGUACAGAAUAAUUUUGUGAAACGAGGUUUAGAAUUUAUGCUGUACUUUCUCUGUGUAAUUUCUGAGAAGGCAACAUGAAAAUGUCUCUUAAAACUGAGGGGUGGAUUCACGCUUUCUAACUUAGGUUACUGAAGCUUCAGGUACUCAGCCUAAGUGAGGAGGCAGCCUCUCCUCUCAGACUAAAUAUAGGCUCAAUUUAGAGAGAGACAGGCUGCUGUAGAGGGUAAUUUAAAGCAGAAAUACAGUUUUCAGUGCUCUGAGGUCGCAUACUGAAUUUCGAUUCUCUCAUGGUGCUCCUCCUGUAUAUUUGGGCUCUGGAGUGAAACUGGCAGAUCUUCAAUGUGACAAAACCACUACCUCUCCACUGUGUGCACAGGGAGCUUAGGAAAACCAGGCUUGGAUAUAAACUCCAGGCUAUUAGGAGGCUCAGGGAGCUGUGAGGUCUGCGGACAAGUCUUAGUGGUGGAAACUGAGGUAAGAAAGGGUUUGAGGAACUCAUGCUUUGCCCUGUCACUUGUCAAUGGGACCUCUGUCCCACUGAACAAAGGUUAAAAUCACAAUCUCCCUGGACUUUCUUUGCUUCUGCUGUCCUUACAGAAUAAUUUUUUUUUCUUUCCUCCUCCUUUUUCACACUGUAUUUUCUAUCUAGAUUUUCCAUAUAAUGACCACAUAAUGAAUCUCUUUUGUCUCAUACACUACCCUAAUGUAAAAAAGGAUGUUUAGUUCUUACAGAAUUAAGUUCAUAGAGUAGAAACAUGAAGACUAAUCAUAACUAUGUACCUGAUUUUCUACACAAUAUAGGAAGUAACAAAUCCCAUCUAAGGAUGUGUGGGAUUUUCUCAGCAGAGAGAGCUCUUUAGAUAGUGAACAAUUAUC
RNAcentral lists this long non-coding RNA (1183 nucleotides) under Gallus gallus (chicken). RNAcentral's name for it is "lncRNA (ENSGALG00010006234.1)". The record is from RNAcentral. Lineage: Eukaryota; Metazoa; Chordata; Aves; Galliformes; Phasianidae.